AAGCGGAGGAAAAGAAACUAACAAGGAUUCCCUUAGUAACUGCGAGUGAAGUGGGAAAAGCUCAAAUUUAAAAUCUGGCAGUCAUUUGGCUGUCCGAGUUGUAAUCUAGAGAAGUGUUGCCCGUGCUGGACCAUGUACAAGUCUCCUGGAAUGGAGCAUCACAGAGGGUGAGAAUCCUGUCUUUGACAUGGACUACCAGUGCUUUUGUGGUAUGCUCUCAAAGAGUCGAGUUGUUUGGGAAUGCAGCUCAAAAUGGGUGGUAAAUGCCAUCUAAAGCUAAAUAUUGGCGAGAGACCGAUAGUGAACAAGUACCGUGAGGGAAAGAUGAAAAGAACUUUGGAAAGAGAGUUAAACAGUACGUGAAAUUGCUGAAAGGGAAACGCUUGAAGUCAGUCACAUUGACUUGAAAUCAGCUCUGCUUUUGCUGGGUGUACUUUCUUGUCAAUGGGUCAGCAUCAAUUUUGAUCAUUGGAUAAAGUCAUUGGGAAUGUAGCAUCUUUAGAUGUGUUAUAGCCUGGUGAUGCAUACAGUGGUUGGGAUUGAGGAACUCAGCACGCCACCAGGCCGGGUUUCGACCACGUUUGUGCUUAGGAUGCUGGCAUAAUGGCUUUAAUUGACCCGUCUUGAAACACGGACCAAGGAGUCUAACAUAUCUGCAAGUGUUUGGGUGGAAAACCCAUGUGCAUAAUGAAAGUGAAAGUUGAGAUCCCUUCUCAAGGGGGGGGAGCAUCGACGCCCGGACCAGACCUUUUGUGACGGAUCCGCGGUAGAGCAUGUAUGUUGGGACCCGAAAGAUGGUGAACUAUGCCUGAAUAGGGUGAAGCCAGAGGAAACUCUGGUGGAGGCUCGUAGCGAUUCUGACGU
This 864-nucleotide ribosomal RNA is filed under the name Pseudosperma calciphilum. RNAcentral's name for it is "Pseudosperma sp. AM-2023a partial large subunit ribosomal RNA". It matches the Rfam family "Eukaryotic large subunit ribosomal RNA", at positions 48 to 892 of the family's 3401-position model. Lineage: Eukaryota; Fungi; Basidiomycota; Agaricomycetes; Agaricales; Inocybaceae. The record is from RNAcentral.